Molecule: ribosomal RNA, 2923 nt
Filed under: Lactiplantibacillus paraplantarum
Lineage: Bacteria; Bacillati; Bacillota; Bacilli; Lactobacillales; Lactobacillaceae
Description: bacterial LSU rRNA
Rfam family: Bacterial large subunit ribosomal RNA
Source: RNAcentral
AGGUUAAGUUAACAAGGGCGCAUGGUGAAUGCCUUGGCACUAGGAGCCGAUGAAGGACGGGACUAACACCGAUAUGCUUCGGGGAGCUGUACGUAAGCUAUGAUCCGGAGAUUUCCGAAUGGGGCAACCCAGCAGUUUUAAUCAACUGUUACCACUAGAUGAAUUCAUAGUCUAGUUGGAGGUAAACGCUGUGAACUGAAACAUCUCAUUAGCAGCAGGAAUAUAAAGAAAUUUCGAUUCCCUAAGUAGCGGCGAGCGAACGGGGAACAGCCCAAACCAAAGUGCUUGCACUUUGGGGUUGUAGGACUGAACAUUUGAGUUACCAAAGAACUUGAUAGUCGAAGGAUUUGGGAAAAUCCGCCAUAGAUGGUGAUAGCCCAGUAGAUUAAAUCAAAUUCUCUCAGUUCAGGAUCCUGAGUACGGCGGAACACGUGAAAUUCCGUCGGAAUCCGGGAGGACCAUCUCCCAAGGCUAAAUACUACCUAGUGACCGAUAGUGAACCAGUACCGUGAGGGAAAGGUGAAAAGCACCCCGGGAGGGGAGUGAAAUAGUUCCUGAAACCAUGUGCCUACAAUAAGUCAGAGCGCGUUAAUGCGUGAUGGCGUGCCUUUUGUAGAAUGAACCGGCGAGUUAUGAUCCCGUGCAAGGUUAAGACUAAAAAGUCGGAGCCGUAGCGAAAGCGAGUCUGAAAUGGGCGUUUUGAGUACGAGGUUAUAGACCCGAAACCAGGUGACCUAUCCAUGUCCAGGUUGAAGGUGCGGUAAAACGCACUGGAGGACCGAACCCGUGUAAGUUGAAAAUUGCUGGGAUGAGGUGUGGAUAGCGGUGAAAUUCCAAACGAACUUGGAGAUAGCUGGUUCUCUCCGAAAUAGCUUUAGGGCUAGCCUCGGAAUUAGGAUCAUGGAGGUAGAGCACUAUUUGGACUAGGGGCCCGUCUUGGGUUACUGAAUUCAGAUAAACUCCGAAUGCCAUUGAUUCAUAUCCGGGAGUCAGACGAUGAGUGAUAAGAUCCACCGUCGAAAGGGGAACAGCCCAGACCAUCAGUUAAGGUCCCUAAAUGUAUGCUAAGUGGAAAAGGAUGUGGAGUUGCAUAGACAACUAGGAUGUUGGCUCAGAAGCAGCCACCAUUUAAAGAGUGCGUAAUAGCUCACUAGUCGAGUGAUCCUGCGCCGAAAAUGUACCGGGGCUAAGCAUACUACCGAAACCAUGGAUGCGACCAUUAGGUCGCGUGAUAGGAGAGCGUUCUAAGGGCGGUGAAGCAAGAUCGUGAGGACUUGUGGAGCGCUUAGAAGUGAGAAUGCCGGUAUGAGUAGCGAAAGAUAGGUGAGAAUCCUAUCCACCGAAUGACUAAGGUUUCCUGGGGAAGGCUCGUCCUCCCAGGGUUAGUCGGGACCUAAGUCGAGGCCGAGAGGCGUAGACGAUGGAUAACAGGUUGAGAUUCCUGUACUAGUUAAGUGCGUUUGAGCAAUGGAGGGACGCAGGAGGCUAAGAUGUGCAUUCUGUUGGAUUAGAAUGUCCAAGCAGUAAGUCUUGUGAAGAGUCAAAUGCUUUUCACUUUAAGGACAAGCUGUGAUGGGGAGCGAAAUUUAGUAGCGAAGCGUCUGAUGUCACACUGCCGAGAAAAGCUUCUAGUGAGUACUUAACUACCCGUACCGCAAACCGACACAGGUAGUCGAGGAGAGAAUCCUAAGGUGAGCGAGUGAACUCUCGUUAAGGAACUCGGCAAAAUGACCCCGUAACUUCGGGAGAAGGGGUGCUGAUCGCAAGAUCAGCCGCAGUGAAUAGGCCCAGGCGACUGUUUAUCAAAAACACAGGUCUCUGCAAAAUCGUAAGAUGACGUAUAGGGGCUGACGCCUGCCCGGUGCUGGAAGGUUAAAAGGAUGGGUUAGCUUCGGCGAAGCUCAGAAUUGAAGCCCCAGUAAACGGCGGCCGUAACUAUAACGGUCCUAAGGUAGCGAAAUUCCUUGUCGGGUAAGUUCCGACCCGCACGAAAGGCGUAACGAUCUGGGCACUGUCUCAACGAGAGACUCGGUGAAAUUAUAUUGUCCGUGAAGAUGCGGACUACCCGCGACAGGACGGAAAGACCCCAUGGAGCUUUACUGUAGCUUGAUAUUGAGUGUUUGUACAGCUUGUACAGGAUAGGUAGGAGCCAUAGAAACCGGAACGCUAGUUUCGGUGGAGGCGUUGGUGGGAUACUACCCUCGCUGUAUGACCACUCUAACCCGCACCACUAAUCGUGGUGGGAGACAGUGUCAGGUGGGCAGUUUGACUGGGGCGGUCGCCUCCUAAAAAGUAACGGAGGCGCCCAAAGGUUCCCUCAGAAUGGUUGGAAAUCAUUCGCAGAGUGUAAAGGCACAAGGGAGCUUGACUGCGAGACAGACAGGUCGAGCAGGGACGAAAGUCGGGCUUAGUGAUCCGGUGGUACCGUAUGGAAGGGCCAUCGCUCAACGGAUAAAAGCUACCCUGGGGAUAACAGGCUUAUCUCCCCCAAGAGUCCACAUCGACGGGGAGGUUUGGCACCUCGAUGUCGGCUCAUCGCAUCCUGGGGCUGUAGUCGGUCCCAAGGGUUGGGCUGUUCGCCCAUUAAAGCGGUACGCGAGCUGGGUUCAGAACGUCGUGAGACAGUUCGGUCCCUAUCCGUCGCGGGCGUAGGAAAUUUGAGAGGACCUGUCCUUAGUACGAGAGGACCGGGAUGGACAUACCKCUGGUGUACCAGUUGUGCCGCYAGGCGCAUCGCUGGGUAGCUAUGAACGGAAGGGAUAAACGCUGAAAGCAUCUAAGUGUGAAGCCCCCCUCGAGAUGAGAUUUCCCAUUCCUAUAUGGAAGUAAGACCCCUGAAAGAUGAUCAGGUAGAUAGGCUGGAAGUGGAAGUGCAGCGAUGCAUGGAGCGGACCAGUACUAAUCGGUCGAGGACUUAACCAAG